Small nuclear RNA from Cricetulus griseus (Chinese hamster), 126 nucleotides. The record is from Ensembl. NCBI's taxonomy places the organism in Eukaryota, Metazoa, Chordata, Mammalia, Rodentia, Cricetidae.
GUGUUGUAUGAAGAGAGAGAAAGCCAGCGCUCCUCCCUAAGAGGCUAGAACAGGUCCGCAGACCUAACAACAUUUUUAAGGCACAGGCUUUGACACCUUCUUUGAAGCAUCUAAGCACUGUUUCUU